This 1919-nucleotide ribosomal RNA is filed under the name Drosophila sechellia. Its description in RNAcentral is "eukaryotic LSU rRNA". It matches the Rfam family "Eukaryotic large subunit ribosomal RNA", at positions 1559 to 3185 of the family's 3401-position model. The record is from RNAcentral. Lineage: Eukaryota; Metazoa; Arthropoda; Insecta; Diptera; Drosophilidae.
AAAGCCGAAAUUUCAAGUAAACAAAAAUGCCUAACUAUAUAACCAAAGCGAAUAUAAUACACUUGAAUAAUUUGAACGAAAGGGAAUACGGUUCCCAAUUCCGUAACCUGUUGAGUAUCCGUUUGUUAUUAAAUAUGGGCCUCGUGCUCAUCCUGGCAACAGGAACGACCAUAAAGAAGCCGUCGAGAGAUAUCGGAAGAGUUUUCUUUUCUGUUUUAUAGCCGUACUACCAUGGAAGUCUUUCGCAGAGAGAUAUGGUAGAUGGGCUAGAAGAGCAUGACAUAUACUGUUGUGUCGAUAUUUUCUCCUCGGACCUUGAAAAUUUAUGGUGGGGACACGCAAACUUCUCAACAGGCCGUACCAAUAUCCGCAGCUGGUCUCCAAGGUGAAGAGUCUCUAGUCGAUAGAAUAAUGUAGGUAAGGGAAGUCGGCAAAUUAGAUCCGUAACUUCGGGAUAAGGAUUGGCUCUGAAGAUUGAGAUAGUCGGGCUUGAUUGGGAAACAAUAACAUGGUUUAUGUGCUCGUUCUGGGUAAAUAGAGUUUCUAGCAUUUAUGUUAGUUACUUGUUCCCCGGAUAGUUUAGUUACGUAGCCAAUUGUGGAACUUUCUUGCUAAAAUUUUUAAGAAUACUAUUUGGGUUAAACCAAUUAGUUCUUAUCAAUUAUAACGAUUAUCAAUUAACAAUCAAUUCAGAACUGGCACGGACUUGGGGAAUCCGACUGUCUAAUUAAAACAAAGCAUUGUGAUGGCCCUAGCGGGUGUUGACACAAUGUGAUUUCUGCCCAGUGCUCUGAAUGUCAAAGUGAAGAAAUUCAAGUAAGCGCGGGUCAACGGCGGGAGUAACUAUGACUCUCUUAAGGUAGCCAAAUGCCUCGUCAUCUAAUUAGUGACGCGCAUGAAUGGAUUAACGAGAUUCCUACUGUCCCUAUCUACUAUCUAGCGAAACCACAGCCAAGGGAACGGGCUUGGAAUAAUUAGCGGGGAAAGAAGACCCUUUUGAGCUUGACUCUAAUCUGGCAGUGUAAGGAGACAUAAGAGGUGUAGAAUAAGUGGGAGAUAUUAGACCUCGGUUUGGUAUCGUCAAUGAAAUACCACUACUCUUAUUGUUUCCUUACUUACUUGAUUAAAUGGAACGUGUAUCAUUUCCUAGCCAUUAUACGGAUAUAUUUAUUAUAUCUUAUGGUAUUGGGUUUUGAUGCAAGCUUCUUGAUCAAAGUAUCACGAGUUUGUUAUAUAAUCGCAAACAAAUUCUUUAAUAAAACGAUGCAUUUAUGUAUUUUUGAUUUGGAAAAUUUGGUAUAACUCCAAUUACUCAGGUAUGAUCCAAUUCAAGGACAUUGCCAGGGUAGGGAGUUUGACUGGGGCGGGUACAUCUCUCAAAUAAUAACGGAGGUGUCCCAAGGCCAGCUCAGUGCGGACAGAAACCACACAUAGAGCAAAAGGGCAAAUGCUGACUUGAUCUCGGUGUUCAGUACACACAGGGACAGCAAAAGCUCGGCCUAUCGAUCCUUUUGGUUUAAAGAGUUUUUAACAAGAGGUGUCAGAAAAGUUACCAUAGGGAUAACUGGCUUGUGGCGGCCAAGCGUUCAUAGCGACGUCGCUUUUUGAUCCUUCGAUGUCGGCUCUUCCUAUCAUUGUGAAGCAAAAUUCACCAAGCGUUGGAUUGUUCACCCAUGCAAGGGAACGUGAGCUGGGUUUAGACCGUCGUGAGACAGGUUAGUUUUACCCUACUAAUGACAAAACGUUGUUGCGACAGCAUUCCUGCGUAGUACGAGAGGAACCGCAGGUACGGACCAAUGGCACAAUACUUGUUCGAGCGAACAGUGGUAUGACGCUACGUCCGUUGGAUUAUGCCUGAACGCCUCUAAGGUCGUAUCCGUGCUGGACUGCAAUGAUAAAUAAGGGGCAAUUUGCAUUGU